This 251-nucleotide ribosomal RNA is filed under the name uncultured bacterium. RNAcentral's name for it is "partial 16S ribosomal RNA". It matches the Rfam family "Bacterial small subunit ribosomal RNA", at positions 525 to 775 of the family's 1533-position model. The record is from RNAcentral.
ACGUAGGGGGCAAGCGUUGUCCGGAAUCACUGGGCGUAAAGGGCGCGUAGGCGGCAAUAUAAGUCAGAUGUGAAAGGUGAGGGCUCAACCCUUAGACUGCAUCUGAUACUGUAUAGCUUGAGUGUGAGAGAGGAAAGCGGAAUUCCUAGUGUAGCGGUGAAAUGCGUAGAUAUUAGGAGGAACACCAGUGGCGAAGGCGGCUUUCUGGCUCAUAACUGACGCUGAGGCGCGAAAGCGUGGGGAGCAAACAG